GACCUGGCAGCAGAAUGGUUAAGCACUUGGCUGCUACCCAAAAGGCUGACAGUUCAAAUCUACCCCGGGUCU
Molecule: transfer RNA, 72 nt
Filed under: Loxodonta africana (African savanna elephant)
Lineage: Eukaryota; Metazoa; Chordata; Mammalia; Proboscidea; Elephantidae
Rfam family: tRNA
About the family: Transfer RNA (tRNA) molecules are approximately 80 nucleotides in length.
Source: Rfam by way of RNAcentral